GUUGCUCUGAACAGGUUCGUCCCCUCCUACGGUCUUCACAGCGACACGACCGUAAGCCCGUCCCGAAUUCCUCGCCGUCGACUCUUCCCUUCCCUUUCCGCCCAUCGGAAGUUUUCGUAAGGUUCCUGCUCACCAGCUAGUUUGACACCAUGGUCUCAUUUGAGAUGAAUGAUCUGAAAAAAAUUGGGCUGGGCUUGACGGGGUUUGGGAUAUUUUUCUCAAUCCUAGGAAUCAUCUUUUUCUUCGAUAAGGGACUUCUGGCUAUGGGGAAUAUUCUCUUUCUGUCAGGCGUGAUGCUGACCAUUGGGCUGAAAUCCACGAUGCAGUUUUUCACUAAGCCUAAGAAUUUCAAGGGUACAAUUUCAUUUGGAUCUGGCUUCACUUUAGUGCUUAUUGGAUGGCCUGUCAUUGGCAUGAUCUUGGAAUCGUAUGGAUUCAUCAUUCUCUUCCGUGGCUUUUGGUCAACACUAGCGAUAUUUUCACAAAGGAUCCCUAUAAUUGGCUGGUUACUCCAACAGCCAUUUGUAUCAUCGUCAUUCUGCAUUUUUCAUCUCUUGUUUUGCAGUUCUUUAAUCGCUACAGAGGCAAUAGAGUCCCGGUAUAAUUGGUCAACAAAUUUUUUUGUAGAUGCAUGCCCAACAUAUUGAAGUUCUAUGUGCAUAGCGGUCAACUAAAGCUCCAGACUGGCGAUUUUACUUUUUCAUUCUUGUGUUGGAUUAAAGAUGUAGAGGAUGGAUUCAGUUGAUCAUUGGGAGUGCCGUCCCCUCUGAGAAUCUAGACAGUCAUUAGCCCUAUGAUUUGGUGGAAUCAAGUUUCAUGCGUUAUGCAUGGUCAACCAUGUUUAGCCAUGUUGCGAACAUUAGCCACUGGCCAUAUCUUGUGGCUUUCCCGGUUGGUGAUCCAUCGCAAUAAGAAAGAGAAAGAACCGCAUUCUUCGAUUCUUUUGCGCGCACCGACAAGGCGUCCAGCUCAUUUGAUCAAGAAGAAGACCGAGAAUACAAGUUGCAGGGCGGAAAUAUAUGAAAGAGAUGAAGACAUGAGGAGAAGAAGUGAUGAUGCUGCAGUGUCUGGUAAUCUGUUAAUUCGGCGGUGGUUGAUGAAGCGCCUUAUAGGUCAUGUACUCUGACGACCUCGACUUCGACGUCGCCGGCUUUACCGAACAAUUCGAGAGGCUGCAUGGAAUAUAGUGCGACACCGGGCAGUGCUUCGGCCGCCACAGGAAUUUGGAGCAUUCCGACGGCGGCCGCUGCUCCGGCAGUCCCACUAUGCAGUUAUGCCGCACGUCGAGCACUUUGCUCUUGACCAAGUCCCAGCAGGAGAGUCCCAGCGAGGUGAAGUAGUUCCCCGACAGCGACAGGUUCGCCAAGUUGCCGUCCUUGGCCAGCCGGCAUACCACGUCCGGCACCUCCCCGUAGAGCAGAUUCCCCGCCAGGUUCAGCUGCUCCACCUUGAGCAGGCAGCCGAAGGACCACGGUAUCGGCCCGGUGACCUGAUUGAACCCCGCGUCGAACACCGUCGCAAUGCUCAGUAAUCCGAUCUCGUACGGUAGGCAGCCGGAGAGCUUGUUGUUGAGGAAGAGCACCUCGACCAGGGUUUUUGACGCGUUGCAGAUGGACCGGGGGAUCGGCCCGGUGAAGCCGUUGUUGGCCAGGGUCAGGUAGGCCACCGGCGAGCUGCCGAGGUCGGCCGGCAGCGGCCGGAAGAAGUUGUUGUUGUUGAGGAAGAGCACGUCGAGGUCGAGGGCGAAGACGGAGGCCGGGACGGAGCCGGCGAAGAGGUUGUAACGGAGGUCUAGAAAGAUGAGGUUGCUUAGCGCGAGGACGUCGGCCGGGAACGGGCCGGAGUGGAGGUUGUUGCUGACGUCGAGCUCGUAGAGGUAGGGAAGGCCGGUGAGGUCGGGGAUGGGGCCGGAGAAGUUGUUGGAGUUGGCGUGGAAGAGCGCGACGUCGGGGAGCUGGUCGACGAAGCCGGCGACAGUCGGCGCGCAGAGGCGGAAGCCAUUGAAGUCUACGGAGGCGAUGGUGGGCGUGUCGGGGGAGUCCGGCGGGGCUGCACAAUAGAAGCCCUGGUAGGUGCAAGGCCGGUAGCCCACCCAUGUCUGGAUGACGCCAUUAGGAUCGCAGGUGAUGCUCCGCUUGAAGCGUUGGAUGACGAGGUAGGCGUAGUACUGCUUGAGGUUGGGGAAGUCGGAGGGCUGCGGCUCGGACGACGGUGGCGACGCAGGCGGUGAGCAGCCGCAAGAAUUAUCCGUUGGAGAUGGCGACGCAGUGGGGCUCUCGCUGCCACUGCCACUGCCCCCGACGCCAACGCCGAUGCUAAUCUCAAUGGCUUUUCUCUGUCGCUCCAAUUGCGUACGGCCACUGAGGGAGGGAGAGAUGAGGAGGAAGAUGAUGCAGAGAACCAGCAGCAGUGUUCUGAUAGCCAUGUUAAAGCUUCUCUUCCUUCAUUUGGUUCCUCCUCCUAACUUGUUUGUUUCCGUGCAGUGUAGUGUUGUGAUAUAUGUCUCGAUCUUGAGACUGUUUGGCCGAGAGAGAGAGAGCAUGUGUGAACGGUGAUGCAUAAAGUGGGGGGAGGAAAGCGACAAAAAGAGGGAGGGAGGGGCCCGAAGGUCACGAGGAGAACAGAAUCAUACUUUGCGCAAAAGAAGGAGAUGGAUUGGGGACAAUAAUACAGUGGUCGCGGUUGGACGGGGCGGAGUCUACGGUGGGGACUGAUCACGGAUGGCCAUGGGAAGAUUGGUUGGUAAGACUCCACUGUUCAUCUUCUUUAAUAGGGUUUUGUUUGCCUGCUGCUGCUGGUGAUGGGAUUGUCACAGGAAACUAGCAAGAAUGCAGAGUGAUACUUUGAUGAUAAGAUUGGCAGGCAUGAGAAGUUUCCAAAAGCAUGAGAUUACCAGUUGACAAGUUCCGGCCUGGACAUUGCAGACGGGGAAGUCAGGGGGGCAGCAGCUGCGGUGAUCUUCACAGCAGGUUGCACCUUCAACAGGACAGCAUCCCCAGGCGAAGCAGUGACGGCCAUACUCAUAGACACAACAACAAGUGGUGCUCGACGGGCAGGAGAAGUACUUGUCACACGUGAUCGGAGGGCUCACGGGCGAGGGAGGACUCGGUCCAGGAUUGGGCGGAUUCUGACCCUUCUUUGUGGGGUAAGAAGGUUCUAUCGCGAUCCCGCACUUGCCGGUGGAUGUGUUCAAGUUGCGCUCCAUCCUGAUAUAGCCAGCCUCUCCCCAGUCACUGCUCCAUGAGUUCCUGACGAUCCAGUAAUCCUUGCCAUUUUCAGUACCAUAGCCAACAACAACUACACCAUGAUCCAGCUUUGUGCCACAUCUUCCUGUGAAAACUCCCUGAAACAAAUAUUGCACAGCUUGUAACACAAAAGAAAAAGGAAUAGUAGAUAGUAGCAUUUACAGACGACAAUUGUAGAAACAUGAAAGCAUAGUUCUUGUCAAAUGCUGAUCUAAUUGUUGUCUUUGUGUUCUGAA
Musa acuminata AAA Group (dessert banana) is the source of this 3481-nucleotide RNA transcript. It is a transcript of the gene named vesicle transport protein GOT1-like, with no coding region annotated. The record is from RefSeq and is a predicted model, not a curated record. The transcript has 10 exons. Lineage: Eukaryota; Viridiplantae; Streptophyta; Magnoliopsida; Zingiberales; Musaceae.